Molecule: unclassified non-coding RNA, 343 nt
Filed under: soil metagenome
Description: partial contains 5.8S ribosomal RNA, internal transcribed spacer 2, and large subunit ribosomal RNA
Rfam family: 5.8S ribosomal RNA (bases 1-120)
Source: RNAcentral
GAUGAAGAACGUAGCGAAAUGCGAUAAGUAAUGUGAAUUGCAGAAUUCAGUGAAUCAUCGAAUCUUUGAGCGCACAUUGCGCCCGCUAGUAUUCUGGCGGGCAUGCCUGUCCGAGCGUCAUUUCAACCCUCAAGCCCCCGGGCUUGGUGUUGGGGAUCGGCGAGCCUCCGCGCCCGCCGUCCCCUAAAUCUAGUGGCGGUCUCGCUGUAGCUUCCUCUGCGUAGUAGCACACCUCGCACUGGGAAACAGCGCGGCCACGCCGUUAAACCCCCAACUUCUGAACGUUUGACCUCGGAUCAGGUAGGAAUACCCGCUGAACUUAAGCAUAUCAAUAAGCGGAGGA